UUAGUCAGACUCAACUUGUCAAUUUCAACAAGCUCUGUGUUUAAACAUAUGAUAUGCACACUUUGGAUGGACCUCGGAUGCACUUGAUGUUUUAAGCUUCAAUCUUAAACGUUUUAGUUUGAAGAACAUAAUACAUUGGAAUAUAAAACUGUGUGGAGAGAUGAUAGAGUUGUUGCGAGUUGGAUUUCAUGAUCAUCAUUGCAUUUUUCUUUAUCCCAUUUGCGUGCGACAUAGUUUUCGUCUAGAAUUAACGUUCAUCAUUUUGAAUCUUCAACAUUUCAUCAAGAUGAAAAGAAAUUGUGGAAUAUCUUGCACUGUGAUUUAGUUCCAAAAGGAGCAUGUCUAAAGAACUUUGCCCAACAAUUUGCGCUUCCUUAAUCUUCAAUUUAUUUGUUUAAGACAAAAUCAACGGUGAAUGAAAUGGCAGAGGAAUGUGAACCUCUUGGAGCAUCGGAAUUCAUUAAAGAUCGGUUGUAUUUUGCAACCCUUAGAACCAAACCAAAAACCACAGCAAAUGCGCACUACUUCAGCACAGAUGAUGAAUUUGUCUAUGAGAAGUUAUUGGUGAGGCUAUGUCAUCUGAGGGGAAAUAGCCCUUACACAGCCUGGAGGUAUGGGAUAGUCCAACUAAGAGCAAACAAGAUGGGAUGGAGGACAAUUGCAGGCUCACAAAUGAGUAACACUAAAGAGCUUAUCCUCUUCAGCAAAGGUAUCUCUGGGUCUUCUUUUAUUGGGGCAUUCCUCAUGAAAGCCUAUUUCAUCAUAGUGCUUAUUGGUUUCUGUGACUGCACUUGAAGUAACUUUUGAAGUUCUUGAAAUGUCCUGGGUUAAUUGACCUUCGUCAUCAAGGAAUGCUUAUUUCAGCUGUUAAAAAAAUAUAUAUCUUAACGUUGCAAAACAUUAUAAUGAACUAGAGUAUAUAUUAAACAAUAUAUUUAUUUCAAACGAGUUCAAGAACACACAUUUUAUUUAUCUUCCUUUUUUAAAUUAUUGGGUUACAUAUGGAUAAAUACAGUACAGAUAAAAUUAUGGUCUUCGGCAUACCAGCCCUACCUUCUCACAACACAACUUAGAAGCUCAAAUGCAUUAAGAAUGAAAUAAAUUCCACAAAUUAACUUUUAACCAGGCACACCUGUUAUUUGAAAUGCAUUCCAGGUGACUACUUCAUGAAGCUGAUUGAGAGAAUGCAAAGAGUGCAAAGCUGUCAUCAAGGCAAAAUGUGGCUACUUCGAAGAAUCUACAAAAUGUAGUGUAUUUUGAUCUGUUUAACAGGUUGUUUGUUGCCACAUGAUUCCAUAUGUAUGAUUUCAUACUGUCGAUUUCUUCACUAUUAUUCUACUGUCUGGAAAAAGGAAAACUAAAGAAGUAGACUUUAAUGGGUAGGUGUGUCAAAAACUGGUACUGUAUGGAAUUGUAUGUUUUUAUUAAUGGAGUUGUAUGAUUUCUCUAUCAUUCCCCACUUGUCUAUGGGGAAAGGUAAAUAAGUGUGCAAAAACAGAAGUGGGCUGUAAUCAAAAACAUGGUAGAUAGGAGCCAGAAUCAAAAACUUUAGAUACAUUAUUUUUGUUUGAUCUUCUGGGCUUGUCUUUCA
Long non-coding RNA from Esox lucius (northern pike), 1591 nucleotides. RefSeq lists it as uncharacterized. Lineage: Eukaryota; Metazoa; Chordata; Actinopteri; Esociformes; Esocidae. The record is from RefSeq and is a predicted model, not a curated record. The transcript is spliced from 3 exons.